CACGGCGCUGAAAAAUCUAUCAUAAUGUUUUAGUACGACUUUGGUAAGCUAUGAAGCCGCACCGCUUGAUGGAUUGUACUGUGCUUCAACAUACGAGUAUUAUUAUGGUGUAGACGACUUUUGCCGUCGUCGCUCGGGUUCCACUGACCACCCAGGAAGGACAUCGCUUUUAGCACAGGUUUAAUUCUCUAUUUUUCAAUAAAGCUUUUCUGCAGCUCGGAUCACUUUUCACUUCCUCUCCGCUGCUCGCUCCUCGGUCGCUCUUUCAGCCGGCCGCGUCGUCGUCUCCCGUGCGCUGUUCAAUCACUCUUUCGCUGUUCAAUCACUCUUUCGCGCCGAUCUCUCCUACCUUCUCCCCUUUUAUGCAGCGUCAGGAGAAAUGUUAAUCGUUUCCUGGUGUGUGAGCCAUGCAUCUGAAUUAGAUUGCGGCGGCGUCGCUCCCGGCACGCCCCGCCUCUCCGCUCCGCCGCAUUCUCCACCUCCUUGCCGCCAGCCCUGCCCUGCCCCGCCGUCGGCUGCGCCUCCCCACAUAUGGUGUGUGUGUGUAUAAGGUAAGACAUAUAAUCUGGCGUUUUUUUCCGCAAUAUUAUGCAAAAGCAACUUUUCUUACAGUCUUGUACAUGCUGAUAUAUAUUUGGGAUCUGCAUAAAACCUGAAAAAUGAAGCUUAUUUUUUUUCAAUAUCUUCUUGUUAUGUGAGAUUCAUCCUCCGCUGUUACCAUUUCUACUAUAAAGUAGUGUAAAGUUCUUAAUUAUAUCAGCCAGUAAACUCACCAUGAGAGAGCUAAAACAUACCGGUGUCGUGAGUUGACAUUAUUCACCCAAGGAACUUUAGUUAUUAGAGAGUUCCGGUUGGACGCUUUUUCACGGGACACAUUUGUUAUUUCCGCAAGAGGAGAUGCUGCUCCGUUUUUGACUGAAGUAAAGUCUGAAUGUCAUUCAGUUAGCUCCAUCUUUUGACACUUCUUCCACUCCCGUCCUUGCACGCUACACCGCUACAACAAAGAUGACGGGGAGAAGACGCUGCCGAAGGUGAGCCACGUAAAUAAGACCGCCCACAAGACUGCACAUCCGGAAGCGGCUGUCAGAGAGCAGCUUGAGGAUGGAAAACAUAAUCCAUGCAACAUUUUGACCAAAGAACCACCAUUUAAUGUUAUGUAGACCACAAGGAAGUGUUUUACAUUUCGAAAGCAAAAAUAGUAAUAUGAUACCUUUAAUGCGCCUUAUAAUCCGUUGCGCCUUACAUAUAAAAAAAAAAAGAUCGUUAAUAGACAAUUCAUUGGCAGUGCGCCUUAUAAUCCGAUGCUACCUAUGGUCCGGAAAAUACGGUAGUACCUUUUUGUUGAUUUACACAAGACUAGGGGCCGGUCCCAAUACACCCCCCUCACCCUACUUUUUAGCCCUGUCCCUAAAUGUUGUGCUUUUCUGUGAGAUUUAACUCUAUCUUUUUAUUUUAUUUUUGGUUUAUAACUUGAUUGCAAGCAAAUAAUCUGUACCUUUUUUAUGUUAACAAUUGCACUUUUAUGGCUAUUGAGUAAUCCUAUUAUAUCUGAUUGAAAUAGAUAAAUGUUGUACAUGUAUCAAAUAAUUUAGUAAAAUUUUGGACCUCAUUUCAAAUAGCAUUUUUGCAGCCUAAUAGAAAAAAAGAUUAACUUUAUUUUCCUUUUCUUUUCAUCCAGAAGAUGACCGUUAUGAAACAGGAACACCGCAUCAGUGCAGUAUCAUACAGUACUGGCUGUCGUCCAGAGUCGAGACCCAGGAUGGACCGCUCGUCGGGACCCAGGAUGGACCGCUCGCCUGUAUCGGUUGUGGACAUCUCUACGCUGCUGAUCCGCCUCCGCUUGAGAUGGUUUCCUGUGGAUGGGACUCUCGCUGCUGUGUUGGAGCCACUAUGGAUUGAACUUUCACAGUAUCAUGUUAGACCCGCUCGACAUCCAUUGCUUUCGGUCCCCUAGAGGGGGGGGGGGGGGGUUGCCCACAUCUGAGGUCCUCUCCAAGGUUUCUCAUAGUCAGCAUUGUCACUGGCGUCCCACUGAAUGUGAAUUCUCCCUGCGCACUGGGUGUGAGUUUUCCCUUGCCCUUUUGUGGGUUCUUCCGAGGAUGUUGUAGUCGUAAUGAUUUGUGCAGUCCUUUGAGACAUUUGUGAUUUGGGGCUGUAUAAAUAAACAUUGAUUGAUUGAUUGACAUCAGGUGAGUAAACCAAUGCAAUAUCACUGAUUGACACAUUAUUUCUAUUUUCUUGAUGAAUACUCUCCCCAAAUAGCAUGUAGGAGUCUACAUUUCCCUCCAUCACAAGUUGGAUGCCGGGCGCUGCAGAAGGUCCUUAGAGUCAACUCUUGUAGAGAACCUGACCAGAGUCUGAGCAGAGUGUAGGAGUUUGUGAAAUCAUCUAAUGGAGAAAAUCUGCUCGGGCUGCAUCAGGUAGGAGCUUGUAGAAGUAAGAUGUCAAUGCACUGCAAAAAGUCAGGGUUCCAAAACAAGAAAAAAAGAACACAAAAAUGAGGGGUAUUUUAUUUGAACUAAGCAAAAUUAUCUGCAAAUAGAACAAGAAAAUGUGGCUUGUCAAGACUUUCCAAAACAAGUCAAAUUAGCUAACCCCAAAUACCUUAAAAUAAGUAUAUUCUCACUAAUAACACGUGCACCUUUCUUGGUACAAAAAAAAGAGACUUUUUUGCUCAAUAUGUUGAAAAAUAUUCUUAAAUUAAGUAAAUAAUAGUGUCAUUAUCUUGACAUAAUGAUAUACGCUAGGCAUUACAUUUCUUAAAACCAGCAAACUUAUACUAAAAACUAAUUUAUUGUUCUUAAUGGAAAGGCAACACCCCGCGACCCUGGAAGGGACAAGCUGUAGAAAAUGGAUGGAUGGAAAAUCAACAAGGCAACCGCUUGUUACUCUCGGGGUUUUCUAGCCGCUCAAGCAAAUCAUAUUGUCUAAAAAUGCAUUUCCCCAUCGACAACAUGACAUCAUACAUACAUGCAGCCCGGCCAUCGGCCACAUUUUUUUAGUUGUAAUUUUGAAGAAUUGAUCUGAAUGUGCAUGAACCUUUUCUGUUCACAAUUGUUGGAAAUGACACAUGUUAAAUGUUUAAAUAAUAACUGUGUACUGUGCCAACUGCACUACUUUAUGAGUCAAAUUUUCUAUUGUUUCAUUGAAAA
Long non-coding RNA from Nerophis ophidion (straightnose pipefish), 3152 nucleotides. RefSeq lists it as uncharacterized. The record is from RefSeq and is a predicted model, not a curated record. NCBI's taxonomy places the organism in Eukaryota, Metazoa, Chordata, Actinopteri, Syngnathiformes, Syngnathidae. The transcript has 3 exons.